AGUGAACGCUGGCGGUAGGCCUAACACAUGCAAGUCGAACGGCAGCACAGUAAGAGCUUGCUCUUACGGGUGGCGAGUGGCGGACGGGUGAGGAAUACAUCGGAAUCUACUUUUUCGUGGGGGAUAACGUAGGGAAACUUACGCUAAUACCGCAUACGGCCUACGGGUGAAAGCUGGGGAUCUUCGGACCUUGCGCGAUUGAAUGAGCCGAUGUCGGAUUAGCUAGUUGGCGGGGUAAAGGCCCACCAAGGCGACGAUCCGUAGCUGGUCUGAGAGGAUGAUCAGCCACACUGGAACUAAGACACGGUCCAGACUCCUACGGGAGGCAGCAGUGGGGAAUAUUGGACAAUGGGCGCAAGCCUGAUCCAGCCAUACCGCGUGGGUGAAGAAGGCCUUCGGGUUGUAAAGCCCUUUUGUUGGGAAAGAAAAGCAGCAGGUUAAUACCCCGCUGUUCUGACGGUACCCAAAGAAUAAGCACCGGCUAACUUCGUG
RNAcentral lists this ribosomal RNA (492 nucleotides) under uncultured bacterium. RNAcentral's name for it is "partial 16S ribosomal RNA". It matches the Rfam family "Bacterial small subunit ribosomal RNA", at positions 29 to 507 of the family's 1533-position model. The record is from RNAcentral.